Molecule: ribosomal RNA, 484 nt
Filed under: uncultured bacterium
Lineage: Bacteria
Description: partial 16S ribosomal RNA
Rfam family: Bacterial small subunit ribosomal RNA
Source: RNAcentral
AUUGAACGCUGGCGGCAGGCCUAACACAUGCAAGUCGAGCGGAUGAAGGGAGCUUGCUCCUGGAUUCAGCGGCGGACGGGUGAGUAAUGCCUAGGAAUCUGCCUGGUAGUGGGGGAUAACGUCCGGAAACGGGCGCUAAUACCGCAUACGUCCUGAGGGAGAAAGUGGGGGAUCUUCGGACCUCACGCUAUCAGAUGAGCCUAGGUCGGAUUAGCUAGUUGGUGGGGUAAAGGCCUACCAAGGCGACGAUCCGUAACUGGCCUGAGAGGAUGAUCAGUCACACUGGAACUGAGACACGGUACAGACUCCUACGGGAGGCAGCAGUGGGGAAUAUUGGACAAUGGGCGAAAGCCUGAUCCAGCAAUGCCGCGUGUGUGAAGAAGGUCUUCGGAUUGUAAAGCACUUUAAGUUGGGAGGAAGGGAAGUAAGUUAAUACCUUGCUGUUUUGACGUUACCAACAGAAUAAGCACCGGCUAACUUCGUG